RNA transcript from Daktulosphaira vitifoliae (grape phylloxera), 1089 nucleotides. RefSeq lists it as uncharacterized. NCBI's taxonomy places the organism in Eukaryota, Metazoa, Arthropoda, Insecta, Hemiptera, Phylloxeridae. The record is from RefSeq and is a predicted model, not a curated record. The transcript is spliced from 2 exons.
UAUAAAUAGUAGUAGUAAUAAUAAUAAUGAAUAUCGGGUACCGUCAAUAAUUCCCGAAUGAGAAUUGAGGAGAAACACACAACACAUUAUUGUAAUGUAUACUAUUACCUGAGGUCCACAAGAAGAACAAGAAUAAUGUGUUUUUGGAAAAAAAUAACAGUAAGAAAUGGUAAAGAAAAAAAUAAGAAACGUUUAUUAUCUAAAGAGAAAAAGGGUCACGCAGGAGUCAGGAGGGAACAUGUCAAACCGCGCGCCGAGCCAGCUGUGUGAAAUGACAAAGUUAUGUGUUUCUGGUAAUGUCUUCGAAAACCCAUAGAUUCCACGCACACAUUUAUAACAUGAAAACCCUCGAAAUCAUUCUAGAUGGAAUCGGACAACCCCUGUAUUGUAAGCGUGUGUGUAAUGCAUACAAUGCGCGUCGAGGGUGUGUUCGACAUGACAAGAAUGUUAGUGCGCUGUACUCGUAACAUUCAAUGAUGUGCCGCCGCCACCGCGGACAACCGAAUAAACGCGCACGGGACGAGGAGUGGGACGACGACGACGACGACGAGGAGCACGAGAAUAUUAGGUCAUCUAAGAUCCAAUAAUACUGACGUUUGCGGUUUAUUAAACGUUUCCCAGAAAAAUGAAUUUAAGGCAAAACUACCUCGUGUUAGUCACAAAAGGUACAACGAAUUGAUCCAACGGAAAUAUAAUUCUGUAAUUGAAGAAUCAAAACGUUUAUUCAAAAAGGUUUAUGGCUGUAAUAUUCCUCGUCAAGUUAGUGUUUUGAAUGAAGAAAUGGAGUACGAUCCUCAUACAUUGCUUGAGACUGAUCAAGUUAUACCGGUAGAUGUAAUCAUUGAGGAGACUGAUAUGACUUAUAACCCUUAUAAACGUAAAGCUCCCACUCCUGCAGAGGGAAAUUAUAUAAUACCGAAAAAAAAGAGUUUUAAAACCAGAAUAAGUUGCAGCAUCCGAGAUUGUUAUUACCUCAAGUUGCUUUGGUUGUAUUAAAAAUGUUGAACAGAUACACGAGUUGUAUUAUAUCGUGAAACUAUAAACGAGUACGUGAAAUUAUAUUUUAACUUCAGUCUUUUGGAUAUUUGU